GCACUACUGAGGAGUUCAACAAUAGGACGAAACGGUUGUCUAGUGC
RNAcentral lists this non-coding RNA (46 nucleotides) under Schistosoma bovis. The record is from RNAcentral. Lineage: Eukaryota; Metazoa; Platyhelminthes; Trematoda; Strigeidida; Schistosomatidae. RNAcentral also lists the same sequence under 1 other name.